GAUUUAGAGAGGACUCAGAAGCGAGGAUGACAAUCACAGCUCCUUUAAUAACAAAUGGCAGGAUGACCACAGGCAAAGAUGAGCAGAGAGCUGGAGCAGUAGGGACCCAGAAACCCUCAGGGCCGGGAUAGCGAGCAAUGAAGAAGGAACACAGCCUCAGACUCCUAGCAGACAGGACUGGACUGGACUCAGACAGAUGCACGCAUCGAAACUUACGAACAAACUGACAACAAGACAAGGAAGAGAAGGUAAGAAAAAGCCAAGAUAAUGAGGGGGGGAACGAGAGACAGGUGAAGAGAGAUGAGCCUAAUGAAAAGUGAUAACAGCUGUCAGUAAUGAAAGUGAAAGCGGCAAGUGAGUGAGUGAACGAAUAACCAGCAGGGGGAGACAGAGAACGAGCCAGGAUCAUGACAGUACCCCCUCCUCAAAGAGCGCCACCUGGCGCUCCCUAGGAGGAACCCUGGCGAGACCGGAGGAAAUCAUCAAUGAGCGAGGGGUCCAGGAUGUCCCGGGGGGAAACCCAGCUUCUCUCCUCAGGCCCGUACCCCUCCCAAUCGACCAGGUACUGAUGUCCUCGACCCCGACGACGCAUAUCCAAGAUCUUACGGACAGUAUAGACAGGAGAAUCCUCCACACGGACUGCCGAGAACGCGGUACGAGAAGUCGAGCGAUUGACGGGCUUAACGCAGGAGACGUGGAAA
Non-coding RNA from Pimephales promelas (fathead minnow), 701 nucleotides. The record is from RefSeq and is a predicted model, not a curated record. NCBI's taxonomy places the organism in Eukaryota, Metazoa, Chordata, Actinopteri, Cypriniformes, Leuciscidae.